This 501-nucleotide ribosomal RNA is filed under the name uncultured bacterium. Its description in RNAcentral is "bacterial SSU rRNA". It matches the Rfam family "Bacterial small subunit ribosomal RNA", at positions 339 to 856 of the family's 1533-position model. The record is from RNAcentral.
CUACGGGAGGCAGCAGUGGGGAAUUUUGCGCAAUGGGGGAAACCCUGACGCAGCAACGCCGCGUGGAGGAUGAAGUCUCUUGGGACGUAAACUCCUUUCGAUCGGGACGAUUAUGACGGUACCGGAAGAAGAAGCCCCGGCUAACUUCGUGCCAGCAGCCGCGGUAAUACGAGGGGGGCAAGCGUUGUUCGGAAUUAUUGGGCGUAAAGGGAGUGUAGGCGGUUUGGUAAGUCUUGUGUGAAAUCUUCAGGCUCAACCUGAAGUCUGCACGAGAAACUGCCGGGCUUGAGUAUGGGAGAGGUGAGUGGAAUUCCUGGUGUAGCGGUGAAAUGCGUAGAUAUCAGGAGGAACACCUGUGGCGAAAGCGGCUCACUGGACCAUAACUGACGCUGAGACUCGAAAGCUAGGGGAGCAAACAGGAUUAGAUACCCUGGUAGUCCUAGCCCUAAACGAUGACUGCUUGAUGUGGCGGGUACCCAAUCCUGCCGUGUCGAAGCUAAC